This is a microRNA precursor of Nomascus leucogenys (northern white-cheeked gibbon), 89 nucleotides long. NCBI's taxonomy places the organism in Eukaryota, Metazoa, Chordata, Mammalia, Primates, Hylobatidae. The record is from Ensembl.
UAUUAGGUUGGUGCAAAAGUAAUUGCAGUUUUUGCCAUUAUUUUUAAUGAGAAAAACUGCAAUAAAGUUUUCACCAACCUAAUAUCUUA